AAGACGAACCGUGCGAACGUUGUUCGGAAUCACUGGGCUUAAAGGGCGCGUAGGCGGGCUGACAAGUCUGGGGUGAAAUGCCGCGGCUCAACCGUGGAACUGCCUUAGAUACUGUCGGCCUCGAGGAAGGUAGGGGCAUGCGGAACUGUAGGUGGAGCGGUGAAAUGCGUUGAUAUCUACAGGAACUCCGGUGGCGAAAGCGGCGUGCUGGACCUUUUCUGACGCUGAGGCGCGAAAGCUAGGGGAGCAAACGG
Molecule: ribosomal RNA, 254 nt
Filed under: uncultured prokaryote
Description: partial 16S ribosomal RNA
Rfam family: Bacterial small subunit ribosomal RNA
Source: RNAcentral